RNAcentral lists this ribosomal RNA (253 nucleotides) under uncultured bacterium. RNAcentral describes it as "partial 16S ribosomal RNA". It matches the Rfam family "Bacterial small subunit ribosomal RNA", at positions 524 to 776 of the family's 1533-position model. RNAcentral also lists the same sequence under 1 other name. The record is from RNAcentral.
UACGUAGGGGGCAAGCGUUGUUCGGAAUUACUGGGCGUAAAGCGCGUGUAGGCGGUCUGGCAAGUCAGAUGUGAAAGCCCCGGGCUCAACUUGGGAACUGCAUUUGAUACUGCCAAGCUAGAGUACAGAAGAGGUGACUGGAAUUCCCAGUGUAGCGGUGAAAUGCGUAGAUAUUGGGAGGAACACCAGAUGCGAAGGCGGGUCACUGGGCUGAUACUGACGCUAAAGCGCGAAAGCCAGGGGAGCGAACGGG